UACGUAGGGGGCAAGCGUUGUCCGGAUUUAUUGGGCGUAAAGAGCGUGUAGGCGGCCAUACAGGUCCGUUGUGAAAACUCGAGGCUCAACCUCGAGACGUCGAUGGAAACCGUAUGGCUAGAGUCCGGAAGAGGAGAGUGGAAUUCCUGGUGUAGCGGUGAAAUGCGCAGAUAUCAGGAAGAACACCCGUGGCGAAGGCGGCUCUCUGGGACGGUACUGACGCUGAGACGCGAAAGCGUGGGUAGCAAACAGG
RNAcentral lists this ribosomal RNA (253 nucleotides) under uncultured bacterium. RNAcentral's name for it is "partial 16S ribosomal RNA". It matches the Rfam family "Bacterial small subunit ribosomal RNA", at positions 524 to 776 of the family's 1533-position model. The record is from RNAcentral.